AGUGAUCGCUGGCGGCGUGCUUAACACAUGCAAGUCGAGCGAAUUUCAGCAGUGUAUCGCUGAAGUUAGCGGCAGACGGGUGAGUAAUACUUGGGCAAUCUGCCCUUGAGUGGGAAACAACCGGCCGAAAGGCUGGCUAAUGUCCCAUAAGAUCACAGGAUGGCAUCAUCCAGGGGUCAAAGCUCCGUAAGGGGCGCUUGAGGAGGAGCCUGAGGCCUAUCAUGGUAGUUGGUGAGGUAACGGCUCACCAAGCCUUUGACGGGUAGCCGGCCUGAAAGGGUGAUCGGCCACACUGGCACUGAGACACGGGCCAGACUCCUACGGGAGGCAGCAGUGGGGAAUUUUGGACAAUGGGGCAACCCUGAUCCAGCGACGCCGCGUGGGGGAUGAAGGUCUUCGGAUUGUAAACCCCUUUCGGGAGGGAAGAUGGAACGAGCAAUCGUUCGGACGGUACCUCC
RNAcentral lists this ribosomal RNA (458 nucleotides) under uncultured bacterium. RNAcentral describes it as "bacterial SSU rRNA". It matches the Rfam family "Bacterial small subunit ribosomal RNA", at positions 29 to 482 of the family's 1533-position model. The record is from RNAcentral.